Molecule: ribosomal RNA, 292 nt
Filed under: uncultured bacterium
Lineage: Bacteria
Description: partial 16S ribosomal RNA
Source: RNAcentral
GGACUACACGGGUAUCUAAUCCCGUUCGCUCCCCCAGCUUUCGCGCCUCAGCGUCAAGAAUGCCCCAGGAGACCGCCUUCGCCAAUGGUGUUCCUACCGAUCUCUACGCAUUUCACCGCUACACCGGUAAUUCCAUCUCCCCCUAGCACCUUCAAGGCUGACAGUAUCCACCGACCCUCCGAGGUUGAGCCUCGGGCUUUCACAGCGGACUUACCAACCCGCCUACGCGCGCUUUACGCCCAGUAACUUCGGACAACGCUCGCCCCCUACGUAUUACCGCGGCUGCUGGCAC